Molecule: non-coding RNA, 48 nt
Organism: Clostridiales bacterium 59_14
Lineage: Bacteria; Bacillati; Bacillota; Clostridia; Eubacteriales
Source: Rfam
AACGGUGCAGUAAAUGGUCUGCACUAAGGGCUGAAUGGAGCCGCACGG